GACGAACGCUGGCGGCGUGCUUAACACAUGCAAGUCGAACGAUGAAGCCGGAGCUUGCUCUGGUGAAUUAGUGGCGAACGGGUGAGUAACACGUGAGUAACCUGCCCUUGACUCUGGGAUAACUUCGGGAAACUGUAGCUAAUACCGGAUACGACCCUCGGAGGCAUCUCCUGGGGGUGGAAAGAAUUUCGGUCAAGGAUGGACUCGCGGCCUAUCAGCUAGUUGGUGAGGUAAAGGCUCACCAAGGCGACCACGGGUAGCCGGCCUGGGAGGGUGACCGGCCACACUGGGACUGAGACACGGCCCAGACUCCUACGGGAGGCAGCAGUGGGGAAUAUUGCACAAUGGGCGCAAGCCUGAUGCAGCAACGCCGCGUGAGGGAUGACGGCCUUCGGGUUGUAAACCUCUUUUAGCAGGGAAGAAGCGAAAGUGACGGUACCUGCAGAAAAAGCACCGGCUAACUACGUGCCAGCCGCCGCCGUAA
RNAcentral lists this ribosomal RNA (484 nucleotides) under uncultured bacterium. Its description in RNAcentral is "partial 16S ribosomal RNA". It matches the Rfam family "Bacterial small subunit ribosomal RNA", at positions 28 to 523 of the family's 1533-position model. The record is from RNAcentral.